UCUAGCUUGCUAGAUUGAUGGCGAGUGGCGAACGGGUGAGUAAUACAUCGGAACGUGCCCUGUAGUGGGGGAUAACUAGUCGAAAGAUUAGCUAAUACCGCAUACGACCUGAGGGUGAAAGUGGGGGACCGCAAGGCCUCAUGCUAUAGGAGCGGCCGAUGUCUGAUUAGCUAGUUGGUGAGGUAAAGGCUCACCAAGGCGACGAUCAGUAGCUGGUCUGAGAGGACGAUCAGCCACACUGGGACUGAGACACGGCCCAGACUCCUACGGGAGGCAGCAGUGGGGAAUUUUGGACAAUGGGCGAAAGCCUGAUCCAGCAAUGCCGCGUGUGUGAAGAAGGCCUUCGGGUUGUAAAGCACUUUUGUCCGGAAAGAAAUGGCUCUGGUUAAUACCUGGGGUCGAUGACGGUACCGGAAGAAUAAGGACCGGCUAACUACGUGCCAGCAGCCGCGGUAAUACGUAGGGUCCAAGCGUUAAUCGGAAUUACUGGGCGUAAAGCGUGCGCAGGCGGUUGUGCAAGACCGAUGUGAAAUCCCCGAGCUUAACUUGGGAAUUGCAUUGGUGACUGCACGGCUAGAGUGUGUCAGAGGGGGGUAGAAUUCCACGUGUAGCAGUGAAAUGCGUAGAGAUGUGGAGGAAUACCGAUGGCGAAGGCAGCCCCCUGGGAUAACACUGACGCUCAUGCACGA
This 689-nucleotide ribosomal RNA is filed under the name uncultured Ralstonia sp. Its description in RNAcentral is "bacterial SSU rRNA". It matches the Rfam family "Bacterial small subunit ribosomal RNA", at positions 74 to 756 of the family's 1533-position model. Lineage: Bacteria; Pseudomonadati; Pseudomonadota; Betaproteobacteria; Burkholderiales; Burkholderiaceae. The record is from RNAcentral.